AGUGUUCCGUGUUCAGUGUUCAGUGUGUUCCGUGUGUCCCGUGUUCCGUGUUCCGUGUUCAGUGUCCAGUGUUCAGUGUUCAGUGUUCCGUGUUUAGUGUUCCGUGUUCUGUGUUCAUUGUUCACAGUGUCCAGUGUUCAGUGUUCAGGAUUUUACUGAAGGUUUCGUGGCUCGACAGUCUGGCUUCACUCAGGCGGCUUUCAUGUUCAAACAGGAGACGCCAUGAGAGUGAGAUGUUCAGGUGUGUUAAACACGCUACCAUGACAGAGAUGUUCAGGUGUGUUAAACACGCUACCAUGACAGAGAUGUUCAGGUGUGUUUGACACGCCAACAUAAGCCACCGUGAGAGAGAUGUUCAGGUGUGUUUCAUAAGCCACCAUGACAGAGAUGUUCAGGUGUGGUAAACACGCCACCGUGAGAGAGAUGUUCAGGUGUGUUUCAUAAGCCACCAUGACAGAGAUGUUCAGGUGUGGUAAACACGCCACCGUGAGAGAGAUGUUCAGGUGUGUUCGACACAAACAUAAGCCAACAUGAGAGAGGUGUUCAGGUGUGUUUCAUAAGCCACCAUGAGAGAGGUGUUCAGGUGUGUUAAACACGCCACCAUGAGAGAGGUGUUCAGGUGUGUUUCAUAAGCCACCGUGAGAGAGGUGUUCAGGUGUGUUUCAUAAGCCACCAUGACAGAGGUGUUCAGGUGUGUUAAACACGCUACCAUGAGAGAGAUGUUCAGGUGCCUUUGGUACACAAACGAAAGACGCUGUGAGAACCAUACUGCUCCAGUCCCAGCGGAUGUGGCCUAAAUGAUGUUUUUAUGGUUUCGGCUGAUUUUAGCACAGCCUGACCUCAUGUGUUUGUGUCUAAUAUGGCCGUCGUUUGCACAGCGUUAGCCCAGAAUUAGCCUUCCUCUUUAAAUGCCAUGGUAGUUUCCAAAUCUCUUUUAUAAACACUUCUGUUGUAUGUUUACGUCAGUUGUCACGUCAGAUGGCAGUUGCUAUGUCAGAAUCA
Molecule: long non-coding RNA, 1002 nt
Organism: Clupea harengus (Atlantic herring)
Lineage: Eukaryota; Metazoa; Chordata; Actinopteri; Clupeiformes; Clupeidae
Source: Ensembl